GGCACAAACUUGAAGUAAAGUAGGUUUGUAUGGUCAGCUGAUCCUACUUAUCUAAUUUACUUCAAAUUUGGGCCC
Non-coding RNA from Haemonchus contortus (barber pole worm), 75 nucleotides. Lineage: Eukaryota; Metazoa; Nematoda; Chromadorea; Rhabditida; Trichostrongylidae. The record is from Rfam.